GAUGAAGAACGCAGCGAAAUGCGAUAAGUAAUGUGAAUUGUAGAAUUCAGUGAAUCAUCGAAUCUUUGAACGCACAUUGCGCCCCCUGGUAUUCCGGGGGGCAUGCCUGUUCGAGCGUCAUUUCACCACUCAAGCCUCGCUUGGUAUUGGGCAACGCGGUCCGCCGCGUGCCUCAAAUCGUCCGGCUGGGUCUUCUGUCCCCUAAGCGUUGUGGAAACUAUUCGCUAAAGGGUGUUCGGGAGGCUACGCCGUAAAACAACCCCAUUUCUAAGGUUGACCUCGGAUCAGGUAGGGAUACCCGCUGAACUUAAGCAUAUCAAUAAGCGGAGGA
Molecule: unclassified non-coding RNA, 331 nt
Filed under: soil metagenome
Description: partial contains 5.8S ribosomal RNA, internal transcribed spacer 2, and large subunit ribosomal RNA
Rfam family: 5.8S ribosomal RNA (bases 1-120)
Source: RNAcentral